GAGAGCUCAAUGAACUUGUGUGUACCGACACCUGCUUGCUCACUAGACUCCAGGUUGAUAGAAAGAGAGAAGGGCUGAGGGCAGGGGUUAGAGAAUCGUCAACUUCCUAAUUGAACACUCGAUCUGAAUUGGCAAUGCUUCAGGGACAUGGUUGCUGGUCUCUGUUCCUCGCCAGGAGCAAGCAGGUGCUGAAUAAGUCAUCUUGGUGCCUGUGCUGCAGGAAGUCUUGUGAACAGGAAAAAGAGAAGACUCACAUUUGUUACUGUCUUGGCAGCUAAAAGGGGGCCACGGAUGCUGAUCACAGAUUCAGGAAGAAAGGCAGUGGGCUCAGGGAGAGGCCUUGAAGUCACAGGUGAAACGCUGGGGUCUGAUCCCAAGCCACAAAUAAAAGCUGGAAUUGAUUUAAUGGAAUUCCACCCAUUUAUUCAGCAGAUAACAACUGGACAGCAGAAGCGGCCAGGCCCUAAGAGAGCUGUGGGGGUACAGCCAUGAGUGGGAUUCCUCUCGUCUCCCACAAGCAGAGAGCCAUGUGCUCAAGGGGUGAACGCUGAAGGAGCCCAUAAAAGAGACGAUCUGAUGUGACUGGUGCACAGACGGCUGCCUUGUCUGACUUCUCAGCCCUCCCCCAAAUCAGGUUCAGCGGACUCUUGACUCCCCCACCGCCACCAAGAAGAGAGGGCAGCGGGGUGUCCUUGUGCCAGCCCACGCAGGCCUGCUUGCUUUGUUUCUCAUUCAGAGCCACGCUGGCCAUUUCAGACACAGCCAACCCAGGAGCUUAGACCAGAGGCAGCUGCUGCAGGCAUGGGCCUGGCAGCAGGAAGGCCAGUGGGCGGGCAGACAGGCAGCAAGAGAACACUCGAGAAUUAACCUGCCCAGGGCUGGGUCUCCUCAGAGGAUCACGGACAUCCCUACUCCCGCCUUUUGACGACCGAGACAUGGCUCGGGAGCCCAAGCCUGGUCCUGCCCGGCCGGGCCAGAAGAGGCCCUGGGGCACAGCCAUCUCCUGGUGAGUCUGUUGGGGUUGCCUGCCGGGGAGGGAGUCUGAUCACCAGCUUGACUGGGGCGCUGAGCCCCCCAGGAUGGAACGCGGACCGCAGGAGGCUUGUUCAGUGCCUGACAACUAGCCAGGCAGGCUGCCCGUCCUACUCACUGUGGCACCAAAGGAGAUCCUGUCUGCCUUGGCCACUGGUUUUGUCUGGAAACUGGGUGGGAGGGGUGUCGACCCAGCUCCUUCCAAGGCCCCUUCGAGCUGACAUAACCCAGCUAGCAUCCUGCUGGUGGGGCCCUCUUCUCUCGCCUGGACGCAGGGGUGUGGCUCCUCCAAAGGGAGCCUCGCCUGUGGGAUGCUUGGGGGCUUUUUCUGGGUAUCGAUGUUUGGGAGCAGAAAAUGGGAACCUUUCAGGAGGAAAUCCUCCCUCUAACUUGGGACACUUCAAGGCAUUUUAAAGAAACCUUUAAACAUCUUCAGAAAGGUACUCACCAAACUGCCCGCCAACGUGCCAUUUUCACAGGCCUAACGAGGGUGUGUGCGAACCCAGUGGUUGCUUCGCCCUCCGCUGGGUGUUUGUGGGGGCCGCGCUCGGCUCCUGGCCCAGCUGUGGGUAUUUGAGUGGUUUCUGCCUUGCCAGUGGGGGAGGCGGGAGGCAGCGGGACAGGUGGUUGCAGUUAGGGACAGCAUUGUGUAAACGCCCUGGUGCCGAAGAAGGUUCUGGUUCCUCUGGGGUCUCAUCUCCUCAGAAGUGGGAUGCAGGGCUGGGCGGGGGCUGCCCUGAGGAGCCUCUGCACCUCCAGGUUGACCUCGAGAGAGAUUUGGCCAAAUCUCGCGCUGCCUGCGGCAGCCCGAGGGUCUGCGUCACCUUUAGGGGGGGUGGACUCCUUGUUCACUGCGUUUGCUUUGGGCUGAGGAGGAGGUGCGCGCUCGUGGGUGAGCUCAGUUUUUUAAACUUGGGUUUCUUCAGUGAUGCAGACGUGCGCACGCGGUGUGCUGUGGGGGGCUCUCAUCGGGGGCUUGCUAGGGUUUUGUAAACAGCUGUUUGACGGGAGGUAAGUGGUUCCUUCCCUUCAUCCUAUCCUGCAGUUUUCUCCCACGGCCGUUUUGAGGCUGGGUUAACCCUUCCUCAGUGUGGUUCCAGGUGCCGCCUUCAGAGUUCAUGCCCCCCGCCCCCUUGCCUAGCAGGCUCGGACCCAGUCCUGCAGGUGCAGGUGGGGGAACAGGGAAGCAGUGGGGAGUAAUGACAACUGUCCUGCAGGAACGCAGACUCCAUCCAGAGGGGUGCCUGGCGUUCCAGGCCUGGGGCAGGGGUGGAUUCCUUAGGACCCCUGUGUCCCCGGAGGACACCAGUGAGGAGAAUGAAGCCCUUCCCCAGGGCUGGACAGCAUGUCUGAGGCAGCAGGCUAUUGCUGUGGCACUGGCCCCUUGGGAGCGUGUCCCAAAGAGAAGUAGUUUGGGGGUGGGGUCCUGGUGGCCCCUGCAUUGCUGGAUGACUUCUCCAUGAGAACUGGUCAAGUCCAGGCCAUGUGCCUUGCUGGUGGGAGGGGCGAGGAACAGCAGGGAUGCCCCCAAGCGGGGAGGGACCCCUCUACCUGCAGCAAGCUGUGGUAGCAAAUACAGCCUAACACCUAACCCCCAAACUCAUCCUGCUUCUGUCUCAACUCAGGCAGCUCCUGAGUCUAUUCUCAGCCCUCAGUGAAUGACCAUUCCUUUACCAUUAAUUUCUGGGUAUUUUUAAAAGACAAAUUACAAACAAAACAAAACAAAAACGAGUGAGGAAAAAAGACCCGAAUCUGCCUCCUCCAUUGGCUGGGAAUCAAAGCCAGGCCUCCCGUGUGGCAGGCGAGAUUUCUAGCACCAAGCCGCCCGUGCUGCAGUGGGAUAGAGGUUGUUGAGGCAGCCCAGGUGGUCGCUACUGACCUCCCCGCCCCUCCCAUGAGCUGUGUCGGAUCUCUGCUGAGGUUUUGGUCCAGGAGCGGAGAGGGGACCCUGGCAAGCCCAAGGGGGCCUCAACAAGAGUUUUCCCCAAGUGGUUCAUGCCCAGCUGAGACUUGUCACCUUGAGUUCUGUCCUGGCCCCCCAGCCUUCCCGGCCUGGCUGUUCCGGUUGCUCAGGGAGCUGUUUCCUGCAUCACGAUCCGGGUCCCAGAUGCCGACCCUGAAGCUCAGAAGGUCCGGGUACCUGCCCUCCCACGCUCUGCUGGCUCACUUUCUUUUCUCCAAGGACAGGCCUCCCACCACCGGAAUCAGCAUCCCUGCCGCUCCCGGCUGCCCACCCAGACUUCCUGAGGCCAGAAAUCAGAGCGGGGGUGGCUGGAAAUCUCAUCCACAGGCCUGGAGACCUCACAGGAUGAAGGCAAAGGGGCCCCUGAAUGUCCUCUAUUCCACCUCAGGGGCCUCUGCAGGGCUUGGGUGUGUGUUUGGGGUGGGGAGUAGGACUUGGACACACAGUACCAGAAUGUCAUUUCAGAAACUUUGCUGCCCCCGGCUUGCAGCCCCUCACGUCCCCCUCAACUCCUCACUCGCCCCAGACCAAGCCUCAGGCUGAACCUAAACUUGCAGCUGUGUUCCCACAGGUCCUUCCUGCCUAGGCUGGACCCAGUCUGCCCUUGCACCCAUCUCCAUUACCCCUUGGGCACCAAUUCUCUUGGAGGUGCACGGUGCUGAGAGCUGGGGUGAGGGCAGGCAGUGGCAGCCUGGGAACUGGAGCCAAGGGGAAGGUGGCCUGGCCGGCCCUGCCAGUGCUGGGCUCUGCAUCCUGGCCAUUCCUACGCAAGGAUUAAAGGCUCUCACACCUGCUUUGUGACUUUGGGCCCUGAUUUAACUCUUCCCUUUCAUCCUUUGCCAGACUAAGAACCAGAAUAAGCCCAGCAAUGCUUGGGUCAGGCAGGGAAGCCUUUGGAGAGCCCAGAUCUGGCUAUGUAGAAACCCGUGGGCAACUGCCCCCUCUUGCCACUCAGAAGAUGCCCCGUCAGAGGCCAGCUAUAGGAAGCUGGCUUGUUGUGGCCUCCUAAAGUGACCUGGGUCAAGUCCCUAGGAGCACUUCUGGUGGAGACCCCUGGGAUUCUAAGAAAAAGCUGCAUACCUCAGUUUCUCCAUAUAAGCUGGAAUCUGGGCGAGGAUUCCGGUCCUGGACAGUGACCCUUCCCCCAUUUUUCUCUACUGCAACAGCUACUACGAUCUGGAUUACGAGCUGUACAGGGAAGAAUUCCCCUACAGGGUGUGUGACUAUCAAAGGAUCCCUCCACUAAUCAACCGUGCACCUACCAAGAUCCGGGGGACCCACGUGGGCCCGGGGGUCAAGCACAGCUUUAGUCCCCACAAGACUCCCAGGACUAGUCAACUGCCUGCAGGGCAGAUAAAGCUCCAGACUGAGGAGCUGCACUCCAUCAGAGGAGAGCUGAGCCAGAUCAAAGCCCAGGUGGAUCACCUGCUGGAGACUGUGGACCGCAUGGACCAGCAGAUGGACCAGCUUCCAGGGACGGAGGACUGCGAACAGAACCGGAGCUCCAGGAGUAAGGGUCCCUCAUACAGAACCGUAGAACCUCAUCAGGAGCCUACAGGCCAGAGGACCCAUCCAGAGGCAGACAGCUCCCCGAUCACAGACCCAGAAGACCCCAAGGAGGCAGUAAAGAAUCACGCAUCAGACCAGGAGGGCAGCCAGUAGAAGGCUGGAACUCCCCCAGUCUCAUCAGCUCCAGGCACUUUCUUCGGCGGUUCCUAUCCCCUGCCUUGAGUAGCACCCACGCUGGAGCAAGCGCAAAGAAGUGGAGGCAUGGCUCAGCCAGUCCAGCUGGGAAGCCUCCCCCCAGUGCUGACUUUAGCUUGAGGAUCAUGUUUCCAGAUGACCAUCUGGGGGCUAGCGGGGAAGGAAGGAGCCCUCCAAGUGCCCAGCACCAGCUCACCAUUCUCAUAAAGCUGAGGCCACUCCUGUUAAGAGGCAGCUGGAAAGGGCCCCCCUGGGAGCACCACCAGCCCUCUGACUACAGGUACCUCCCUAGCUGCUUCUCCCCGCCCCUCGCCAAAGCCUUACCUGUCCUCUCUGGGUCUCAGCAGGAGUAUCACUUUUAUGUUGUUUCUACCUUGUCUCUUGCUGGUGUGAUCUUACAUAUUUCAGAUCUGCUUUGGAAAAAUAUGUCACUGAGGAGAAAUAAAAUUUUAUUUCUUUUCCCUGGUCA
This 5168-nucleotide long non-coding RNA is filed under the name Sus scrofa (pig). RNAcentral's name for it is "lncRNA (ENSSSCG00025005805.1)". Lineage: Eukaryota; Metazoa; Chordata; Mammalia; Artiodactyla; Suidae. The record is from RNAcentral.